This 305-nucleotide ribosomal RNA is filed under the name uncultured bacterium. Its description in RNAcentral is "bacterial SSU rRNA". It matches the Rfam family "Bacterial small subunit ribosomal RNA", at positions 334 to 636 of the family's 1533-position model. The record is from RNAcentral.
UUUGCCUACGGGAGGCAGCAGUGAGGAAUAUUGGUCAAUGGCCGCAGGGCUGAACCAGCCAAGUCGCGUGAGGGAUGACGGUCCUAUGGAUUGUAAACCUCUUUUGUCAGGGAGCAAAGGGCGCCACGUGUGGCGUUUUGCGAGUACCUGAAGAAAAAGCAUCGGCUAACUCCGUGCCAGCAGCCGCGGUAAUACGGAGGGUGCGAGCGUUAAUCGGAAUUACUGGGCGUAAAGGGUGUGCAGGCGGCUGAGUAAGACAGAUGUGAAAUCCCCGGGCUUAACCUGGGAACCGCAUAUGUGACUGC